This 350-nucleotide ribosomal RNA is filed under the name uncultured Actinomycetes bacterium. RNAcentral describes it as "bacterial SSU rRNA". It matches the Rfam family "Bacterial small subunit ribosomal RNA", at positions 30 to 376 of the family's 1533-position model. The record is from RNAcentral. Lineage: Bacteria; Bacillati; Actinomycetota; Actinomycetes.
CGAACGCUGGCGGCGUGCUUAACACAUGCAAGCCGAACGAUGAUGCUGGAGCUUGCUCCAGUUGAUUAGUGGCGAACGGGUGAGUAACACGUGAGCAAUCUGCCCUUGACUCUGGGAUAACUGCGGGAAACUGUAGCUAAUACCGGAUACUUUCACCGGUAAGGCAUCUUCUGGUGAUGAAAGAAUUUCGGUCAGGGAUGAGCUCGCGGCCUAUCAGCUUGUUGGUGAGGUAACGGCUCACCAAGGUCGACGACGGGUAACCGGCCUGAGAGGGUGACCGGUCACACUGGGACUGAGACACGGCCCAGACUCCUACGGGAGGCAGCAGUGGGGAAUAUUGCACAAUGGGC